This 253-nucleotide ribosomal RNA is filed under the name uncultured bacterium. Its description in RNAcentral is "partial 16S ribosomal RNA". It matches the Rfam family "Bacterial small subunit ribosomal RNA", at positions 524 to 776 of the family's 1533-position model. The record is from RNAcentral.
UACGUAGGGAGCAAGCGUUGUUCGGAUUUACUGGGCGUAAAGCGUGCGCAGGCGGUUUUGUAAGCCAGAUGUGAAAUCCCCGGGCUUAACCUGGGAAUGGCAUUUGGGACUGCAAGGCUGGAGUGUGGCAGAGGAGACUGGAAUUCCCGGUGUAGCAGUGAAAUGCGUAGAUAUCGGGAGGAAUACCGAUGGCGAAGGCAGGUCUCUGGGCUGACACUGACGCUCAUGCACGAAAGCGUGGGGAGCAAACAGG